GACUUAAGAGCCACGUACGUUUCCAGCUGCUUCCUUUCCCCCUUGAAGCUCGAGGUUGGACCCCAGCAGAGGCGGCUUGACGGUGCAUCAGAGGUGAACAAGGGACUUGACGGCGAUGCCCGGAGACUCGUGCUUUAUCCCGGAGUCUCCUCUGAUGCCCCGGCUGGAGCAUGUGAAGAUUGUGAGUUCAGAUUUGUAGUGGUGAAUUUAUGUGUUUUGAGGGGAAUUACGGCUUAGUGGGUCACUUUGUGCAAUGCAAAGGUAGGUACCAGGAUUCUUCUGUAUAUGAAAAAGUUCAGUCGUGUCUUUCUGCCGAAAUGUGCUUUAUUUUGGUGACUGUUCUGGGUGAGUUGAGAGUAUGGUCUGCUCUUACUGGUUGGGAUAUUCAAUAAAUGCCAGUUAGAGCAGGUUGGUUGGUAGUUUGGGGCGGGUCCAACAUAACCUUUCUGAUCUUCUGUCUUGCUGGUCUCUCCGUUACUGAAUGAGGGGUGUUGGAGUCUACAGCUAUAGUAGUGGGUCUGUUUCUCCAUGGGAUUUGAUCAGUUUUUGCCUCAAAUAUUUUGCUGCUCUGCUGUUAUGUGCAUUCAUUUUAAGGAUUGUUAUGUCUUCUUGGAAACUACCUCUUCUAUCAUGAUUUAAUAUCCUUAUUUAUCCUCAGCAAUUUUUCUUGUGAAGUUUUUGUCUUCUAAAUUUGUAGCUAAUCCAGCUUUCUUUUGGUUAGUGGUGCUGUGAGCAUGUCUUUCUCUAGCCCUUGACUUUUAGUCCGUGAACGUUUAUCUUUUAAAGUAGAUUUCUCGUAGAUAGCAUAUAGUUGAGACUAAUUUUAUUAUCCACUCUUAAAGUCUCUAUAUUUUAAUUGGUAUAUUUAGGUCAUUCACAACUAAAGAAAUAAAUGAUAUAGUUGGAUUAACAUCUGCUGUGUUUGCAACUAUUUUCUAUUCAUUGUGCUUGUAUUUUGUUUCUCUUUUUCUCUUCUACCUUAUCUGCCUUCUGUGGCUUUAAUUGAGCACUUUAUGGGUUUGUUUUCUCUCCUCUCUUAGAACAUUCUUUAUGUUUUCUUAAUAAACAUUUUAGGUGUUGUUUAGAAUUUGCAGUGUGAAUUCUCAGUGACCCCAAGUCCAUCCUCAAAUACCCCUUUCCUACUUCACAAACAGUCUCUGAAUCUCAGAGCAAAUGACGCUCAGUAUCUGCCUCCUGUCAUUAAUUUUCUUUAUCCACACACACUGAUUCCCAAUACGAUGUUACUGCUAUUGCUUUAAACAAACUGCUGUCUUUUCGACCAGGUAACAUGAAAGAUAAAGAAUUUCAUUCUCCCUUAAUUUCGUCGUCUUCCAGUGUGCUUCCAUUUUCAGACAGAUGCAAGUUUCUGGCCUGUUUCAAUUCCCUUCUCGCCGAAAGAAUGUAUGUAAGUUAUACUUCAACAUAUUUUUUUUAAAAAAUCAAGUCCACUUCCAUGUUGGGGUGACGUCGAGGGGAGAUGAGUCAAACAGCCACCAUGGAGGGGGUACGGGGAGUCGGAAGGGGGGUUGGGUGCAUUGAGUCCCCGCUGUUUUUUCAGCUAAAGAAUGGUUCACGUGGUGGCGUGUUUCUGGGUGGCUCUGAAAUAUGUCUGAGUUAAACACAAGUUCAUAAGAUGUUUGAAACUGUGGAACUCUUCUCUUUCUGUUUUCCUGUAAGGAAACUCCACCUUAGAAAUGGUGUUGGCUCGAGUGCAGAAACUACUUAAACUCUGAGAAAUCCAUGGGAGCAAAUAUUACACUUUGUUCUGAGAUUCUGAUUCAGUCCACCUAAUUCUAAUUAUCCUGCGAUGAAUGAAUUAAAACCAUCUGAUUGAGUCAUGUUUGUAAAAUGCUCUCAUUAGUAACUCCUCUGAAUGUUUUGAUUGUUUCUUUUUAUAAUCAUCUGGUCAUGUGGCCCCUUUUAAAGCUUAAAUGUCAAACAUAGACGUCAGUGGAGUCACGUGAAAGAUUCGACAUGUGCCAUCGUCAUGCGUCCCGUUCGGAAACGUCUCAUUAGACUGUCCUCGGUGGGCUCCUGCUCGAGAGGCUGCGCGUGGUUUCAGUUAUUUGCUGCAGAACGCAAGCCUAUAAAAUAUAAAACUAUGAUGAAAUGGAAAGAAUGUUUUGAGGCAGCUACAGACAAAACCCUGCCGUCGGGAUGAAAGGCUGGAUGAGUCACGUAGCCGGGGAGAUGUGAUCACCCCGGCCAAGCCAGGCGACCGCGUCUGCGAGGCCGAUUGCUCAACCGGGACGCCUCCCCACUGGCCCAGAGGCCCCGGGUCACAUGGCGGGGCAGGACCCUGGGCAGGCAGGCGCCGCACGUGUCCUAACGGGAUGGGCCGAGCUCCCCAGCGGCAGAGAGCCAGCGCCCCCAGGGAUGCUCGGCCUGGCCGACUUUGCUCCCGAGGAGCUGUCCCCAGAGGAGGUGUGGCGUGUGCGCCUGGGCCGCGAGGGGCAGGCCGGAGCCAGACACACGGUGGUCUCUGGGGCGGGGGUCAGUGCCGCUUUCAUUCAGGCCUCUGGGGUCCAUGGCCUCCAGGAGGAAGUGGAAGGUCAUGGGGGGUCGAGGAGGCGUGUUCGGGAUGACGCCAGGCAUUCAUGCCUUCAGCGCUCACCCCCUGCUGCAAACAGCAAGGGUUUAGAAACAGUGAAAACCGAGGGAGACAAAGGAAGCAGCAGAGCCCAGAGCUUCCCAGUGAGACGGUCACAGCAGGGCCCCCUGCUGGCCGGGGCGGAGGGGGGGCGGGGGUGCCUGGGGCAGAACCGGUGUGGACAUGGGGGGAGGGAAGGCCUAGGUCACGGUUCCGACUGAUGGGACGUGGGCCUGUCCUGUUCUCCCGCCACCUCAGCUGAACACUUGCCCUGGAGUCUGGCCCUCUGCCCAUUCUUGCUGCACUUGGUCUGCACAGGGCCCAGCACCCGGCGGGGUCAGCUUUCUCGGGACAAAAGCCACCAGCCCCCGCUGUGUUAAGUUCAUGGUCACAGGGGUAGAAGGGGCAGCCACGGGACUGCAGCAUGGCGUCCCAUGGCCGGUACCGGGGCAGGUGACCCCUGGAACCGGUGAGUCAUUCUCGAAGUGGCCCCAGGGCGUGUGGGCCCCGGGCAGGAGCAGACGCUGUGGGAUAAACCAAGUGGUGGCUUGGAACCUUCGACGCGCACGCUGAGCAGCAUGAAAGGUCCACGAGAUCCAGGACCUGGCCGACGGGAGGCUGCCCUCAGCCCCUGAGCCCCGAGCAGCUUAGGGGCCGUGGUGUCAGGUGAGCCCAGUCAUUGCGGCCGGAGUCCCAGAGCAGUGAGCUGGGAGCUGAGUUUCCAAGGACGAGUGUGUGGGGACAGGCCAGCAACUCUGGAGAGAAGAGCACAUGUAGGACACGGACAUGGGCCCAGGGCGGGUGGCCUUGACCCCACCCCACGUGCUGAACAGAGGCGGCCGUGCUGGGCAGGGGCCCGGGUCCCCGAGUGCUCAGCAGUGGGGGGACUCCUCCGUGGGCCAGCAGACAGCCCUUUUGGUGGGAGGGUCGGAGGAGACGGAGGCCCUAUGAAGGCGGCCUGUUUUCAGGGCCAGGGAACUUCCCUGUGGGCGCCAGACAAAGGCAGCCUGGGCCCUCCCGACGCCAUCUCUGCUCGGCCCCCGUGGGCGCCCCCGGCCACCCACCGUCACUGGUCACACACACAGGUGUGGUUCGCUUGGUUCAAGAGUGUGUCUUUGUGGGGAAGAGACCUGCCCUUGACCGAGACGUGCCUUCUUCCUGGGCGUGGUCUCCGUCACGGGGUUCAUCUCAUGGGCUUCAGUUUUCUUACCUAGAAAGCGUGAAUCAUCACGCUCAGUCUUAGACUGCGGAGAGGCUCAGGUGUGCCCUGUGUGGCCCAUCAGCGGUGCUGAUUCCUCAGCCAGCGCCGUGGCCUGGGCCCCUUGGGGAAGGGUCUGCGUGUGGGGAAGGGUCCUGCGGGGAAGGCUCUCUCGGGACUCAGGACCCCGUGGAGUCAGACCAGUGGAGGAGGCCGAGCAGUCCUGCUGCCCGAGGUCCCCUCGAGUCCAGGGCGUUUGGGGGGGAGGAUGGCGGCGUCUUUUCCCCGAGCUGAGUCCCAGGCCAGCAGCGUCGGGUCGGGAACGUCCAGUUGGGAGGAUCGGGUCUGGACAGGUGCAUCUGGAGGAGCACAGGUGAGAGGGGAGCUGGUGGGAACAGGUGGUUGUGCAGGAGGGAGGGUCCUGGGUGAGGACGCGGCUGAGGACAGGCCCUGGGACCCACACAGUGACUGUGGUGGGGACAGCAUCUGCCACAGAGCGCUGGGGACAGGCCCUGCGAGAGGAGGAGCCCACCCCAGGGUCCCAUCCACGCGGCCCCCGCCGGAGCCCACCCGUCCUCCAGAUGGAAGGGGUGCGGCCGACUGGGGGGGAUGGACUUCUCCCGUGGGCCUUCCUUGGGGGCUCUGUCGGGCUCCCGCUAAAAACUCGUCCUCAUCUGGCCUGAAAAGGCCAAGCCCGUCCCACCACUGAGGGUUCGGCUCGUCCGUUUCCUGCUUUAGGGACGGAGGGAGGAGCUGUGAUGACGGGAGUGGAGCUCCGGCCCCAGCUUUUGAUUAAAACGUCAGCAUCGCCGGUCGCCGUGCUGUCAGCCAGUCAUGCGUUUCGGCUUCUUCCUCAACGUUCCUUUCACGUGGUCCCCACGGCAGGUUGACAGCCGCGAGCGGGGGAGCCUGUGCCCAAAUCCCAUGCACAGCACUGUCCCGGGAAAGUCGUCACCCGAGCAGCUGAAGACGGCAUCCCGCUUCUAGACCGAGCGCAGGGCGUUCCCAGCGUGUCUGGGGAAGGGCCGUGGGGACGCUGCUGGGAGGAAGCGGAAGCUCCUUACUGCGCCUUGUGAGGGUCCCUUUGCAGAAGUCCUGCCCGUGUCCCAGGAGGAGGUGGCUCCCUUCCAGCCCCAACGCUGGAGCCCAGGGCCAGCCCUGCACCUGUCCUUGGAGCCCUCGGGUGUCCCUCAGCCACCAAAGCAGGAAUUGGCGUUUCUGUGCAGUCACAGUUCAUGCUCUGUGAGGUGCAGCGGACAUGCAUGCACACGGAUGCGCAGCCCUGUGCACACACAGAGCACUCAGUGCACCUGCGCUCAGCAUCACGCAACCUGUGAUGGAAGCGGUUCCUUAGUGACAGGACCUCUGCUUAUGCUUCUGCAUCUCGUUCCCCUAAAUGUCACAAUAAUUUAAAAAUUGUCUCUAGAGCUCACCCUGGCCCUACCUGGAAGUGCCAUCAGCUGGCGUCUCCUGCUCUGCCUCCUGAGUAUGUCCCCUUUUGCUCCUGCAAAAUCCUUCCCCGAGAAUCAGGCCACCACACAGGUGCCGGGUGCUGCUGGACACGGGUUGUCCGAGGUGACUUGGGGCUGAGAUGCGCUGUUUCCUCCUCCUCCGGGGCAGAGCUGCAAGACUGGGAACCUGGGAUGCAGACAGGUGUGCUCGCUGGCUGGGAAGGUCAGAAAGGACAAGCUGCCGUGGGGACGUUUCCUUUCCCGUUUUGCCUGCGGAGCCCCUACUUGUAAUGCGCCACGGACCCGCUAUGGGGACGUUAAGUGUGGCUUAUUCUGAGCGGUUGAUGCCCAGACCCGGGGCACAAUUUCACACGUUCCUCAGGCUCCAGAGCGGGUGUCGGUCCUGCACCCGAGCCUCCCCGGCUCCCCGCCCAGUCCCUCUGGGAGGCAAAGCCAUGUCGUCUCUCUCCUGCACUGUCCUGGAAAUACGCGACCCCAGGUGGGUUUGCUUGUAAAGGCGGUGUGAGGACUGCCUGAAUUCUGGCAGCUGUUUCUGUGUUUUGGACUAAACAGCCCAGGAAGCAAUCAAAUAUCAGGAAAAGGUUUAUCUGACUUGGAAAGGGGAUCCCAGGUCCCCCUCAGGGCCUGGGAGGGAGGAAUGGACCAGCACCCGGAGUUCCCGUCGCGGCUCAGGGUAACGAACCCUACCAGGAUCCAUGAGGAUACGGACUUGAUCCCUGGCCUUGCUCUGUGGGUUACGGAUCUGGCGUUGCCGUGAGCUAUGGUGUAGGUCACAGAUGCGGCUUGGAUUCUGCAGGGCUGUGGCUGUGGUGUAGGCCGCAGUUGCAGCUCUGAUUUGACCCCUAGUCUGAGAUCUUCCAUAUGCCGUGGGUGCAGCCCUAAAAAGACCAAAAAAAAAGAGAGAGAGAGAGAGAGAGAGAGAAAGGGCUACCGCUGAGUGGCUGGCAGCACUGACCUUGGGCCCAUCUUCCUGGAGUGAGACUCGGCCACACUCCCUCCAGCAGCUGCUCUGGGUGCGGCCAGAUACCGGCAUCAGCCUUCCGUCAUUCAUGUGUCUAUGGUUUGUGGACCAGAAAAACAAACAAAUACUUCUUUUUAAUAAAACUCACCCUGCAU
Molecule: long non-coding RNA, 6376 nt
Filed under: Sus scrofa (pig)
Lineage: Eukaryota; Metazoa; Chordata; Mammalia; Artiodactyla; Suidae
Description: lncRNA (ENSSSCG00060022788.1)
Source: RNAcentral